UUUUUUUGAGACUCUCCACCAGCCCCACAAUUUCCAUUGGUAAAUUACACAUUGCUUCUAGAUUGGUCCCUGAUUUUGAUCAUUCUCCUCCGAAAAAUUGGAGGACGAAAUUCACGACGCCGAGAAUGAUGAUCGCCUGUUUAUCAAAAACAUUUCUUUUUGGUGAUAAUAAAAAGUAAGGCCUGCCCCAUGAUAGUUAAAUGGCCGCAGUAAUAUGACUGUGCUAAGGUAGCAUAAUAAUUUGUCCUUUAAAUGAGGACUGGAAUGAAUGGUUUUAUGGAAAUAAGUUAAUGAUUUUAUUAUAGAAUGAAUUUAAUGUUUAAGUUAAAAUUCUUAGAUGAACCUAAAAGACGAGAAGACCCUGUGGAUCUUUACUACUUAACACUUAUUAAUAUUAAAAAAUUAAGCUCAAAGGUAGUUUGAUUGGGACGAUUCUUUAUUUAACUAAAGUUAAUAUAAUUAUUUAUGAUCCUACUUAAGGAAGUAAGAUUAAGUUACCCCAGGGAUAACAGCGUUAUAUUACCGGAUAGUUCAUAUUGAUGGUAAUGUUUGCGACCUCGAUGUUGAAUUAAAAUUUCUUUGUGAAGCAGAAGUCACAAGAAGUUAGUCUGUUCGACUAUAAAAAUUUUACAUGAUCUGAGUUCAAACCGGAGUAUAAAAACUCAAUUUACCUGAUGAUGGUCCCAAUUUGCGGCAAAAAUAUGGUAAACAUCAUGCAGAUGAACGCCAGGCAGACGUUGAGCCCGAAAACGGGCCAGAAUCCGGGGAUAGACAGACUCGAAGACCAUGAACAUGAUCUGAGUUC
RNAcentral lists this ribosomal RNA (805 nucleotides) under Heterocypris sp. LACM RW17.085.3439. RNAcentral's name for it is "partial large subunit ribosomal RNA". It matches the Rfam family "Archaeal large subunit ribosomal RNA", at positions 1847 to 2720 of the family's 2987-position model. Lineage: Eukaryota; Metazoa; Arthropoda; Ostracoda; Podocopida; Cyprididae. The record is from RNAcentral.